RNAcentral lists this ribosomal RNA (498 nucleotides) under uncultured bacterium. RNAcentral's name for it is "partial 16S ribosomal RNA". It matches the Rfam family "Bacterial small subunit ribosomal RNA", at positions 30 to 523 of the family's 1533-position model. The record is from RNAcentral.
AUUGAACGCUGGCGGCAUGCCUUACACAUGCAAGUCGAACGGUAACAGGUCUUCGGAUGCUGACGAGUGGCGAACGGGUGAGUAAUACAUCGGAACGUGCCUAGUAGUGGGGGAUAACUACUCGAAAGAGUGGCUAAUACCGCAUGAGAUCUACGGAUGAAAGCAGGGGAUCGCAAGACCUUGUGCUACUAGAGCGGCCGAUGGCAGAUUAGGUAGUUGGUGGGAUAAAAGCUUACCAAGCCGACGAUCUGUAGCUGGUCUGAGAGGACGAUCAGCCACACUGGAACUGAGACACGGCCCAGACUCCUACGGGAGGCAGCAGUGGGGAAUUUUGGACAAUGGGCGCAAGCCUGAUCCAGCAAAGCCGCGUGCAGGAUGAAGGCCUUCGGGUUGUAAACUGCUUUUGUACGGAACGAAAAGCCCUGGGUUAAUACCCUGGGGUCAUGACGGUACCGUAAGAAUAAGCACCGGCUAACUACGUGCCAGCCGCCGCCGUAA